Brassica oleracea var. oleracea is the source of this 1265-nucleotide long non-coding RNA. RefSeq lists it as uncharacterized. The transcript is spliced from 3 exons. NCBI's taxonomy places the organism in Eukaryota, Viridiplantae, Streptophyta, Magnoliopsida, Brassicales, Brassicaceae. The record is from RefSeq and is a predicted model, not a curated record.
UCACCUCUUUCAAAACGCAUCUUCCUCUCCCACAGCCGCAAGAAACGUACACGACCAUUUUCGCAGGUCAGUGACAGAGGUGAGAAGGGAGGGAGCCGUUGAGUUUGUUGGAGUAAAGGUCGAAGCUUUAAAACCUACUCGACCAUCUUCGCGACCAGUGACAGAGGUGAGAAGGGAGGGAGGUAAGGAUCGGCUCUGUAAGAAGCUUUGUAAGCAUAAUGGUUACGCCACUGCUCCGACCAACCCGUUCAAUCUGCAGAUUUUACCUUCUCAUAGAAACCAGCUACUCGCAUCAUUCAAUGGAAAACAAAACGGUGAAAUCAACCGGUAAGACCCCUAUUGUUGCUGUCGCUGCUAUAACUGUGGCCUCUUGAGAUUCUGCCAAGAUGGUUGAAUCCAAACCAACAGGUUGAAUCCUUUCGUGAAUCAUCCUUAGGUGAUGCAUUUACGUUUAAAGUACUUCUAUAUUUCAAUCCAUAAUUGGAUACGUUUAUGCUUUUGUUCACACUUCUCAGAUCAGAAAACGAAUGCACACAACCAAGAUAUGCAUUAUAAGCUAAGACUAAGCUGGUGUUGAAGAAGAAGACAGAAUCUGGAGAAAAAAUCUGAGAAAAAUAAAUCCAUCUGAAAAAAAAUUAUGAGGAAGAAAUGUAUCAGACCAAGCAAAGGGAAAGAGGAAGAAGAAGAGUGUUGGUACAAAGUUGUUUCUUUAGGAGCUUGGUUUAUCGGGAUUGAAGUUGAACAUAUUGAUGAUAGACGAUUAUGCGGCGGCCCCUAAUUACGAUAAUAUAUACUUUGAAACUAAAGCCUUGAAGUGAAGAGAUCCCUAUCUUAAAAGAGAUGUCUUGUCCUUAUGGUGAUUGAGCGUAUAAAUCAAAGGAACCAUAAACUUUUAUCCAAAUAAGAAAGAUAUGUUGAGCAAUGUUAUUGAGGUUAAAUAUGAAAAUGGAGAAACUUGAGAUGACAAUUGCUUUGCAAAUCCAACUUUGAGAUGACUUUGCUGAAGUGAAUAUUGAGUAAUGAAUGUCUUUGAAGGAACCAUUGGACAGUCGUGGUUCCCGGAUCAUAUUUUUCAGCAGCGGCGGAAAGGGGAACUGUAGCGAAGAUGAUACUGGAGUUUAGAACCAUAACUAAGCUAUGUACAGCUAGGACUGGACCGAAGGGAGAGGCCGCGUCAACGUUGGGUUGGGAGGAUUGCAAGGAGAAUGUUGACAGAGAUGGUGGCGAUGACAUAAGAUGAAAUGAAGAUAAAGAGAAGAAACCAU